This 486-nucleotide ribosomal RNA is filed under the name uncultured bacterium. RNAcentral's name for it is "bacterial SSU rRNA". It matches the Rfam family "Bacterial small subunit ribosomal RNA", at positions 401 to 896 of the family's 1533-position model. The record is from RNAcentral.
GUGAGGGAUGACGGCCUUCGGGUUGUAAACCUCUUUCAGCAGGGNAGAAGCGAAAGUGACGGUACCUGCAGAAGAAGCGCCGGCUAACUACGUGCCAGCAGCCGCGGUAAUACGUAGGGCGCAAACGUUAUCCGGAAUUACUGGGCGUAAAGAGCGUGUAGGCGGGUAAGUAAGUUGUCCGUGAAAGCUCCCGGCUAAACUGGGAGAGGUCGGAUAAGACUGCUUGCCUAGAGGGUGUUAGAGGGAUGCGGAAUUCCGGGUGUAGUGGUGAAAUGCGUAGAGAUCCGGAGGAACACCAGAGGCGAAGGCGGCAUCCUGGGACAUACCUGACGCUGAGACGCGAAAGCAUGGGGAGCGAACGGGAUUAGAGACCCCGGUAGUCCAUGCCGUAAACGAUGUUCACUAGAUGUUCGUGUGACUACGGUUGCAUGAGCGUCGAAGCUAACGCGCUAAGUGAACCGCCUGGGGAGUACGGUCGCAAGGCUA